Molecule: ribosomal RNA, 199 nt
Filed under: Dyadobacter sp. SG02
Lineage: Bacteria; Pseudomonadati; Bacteroidota; Cytophagia; Cytophagales; Spirosomataceae
Description: 16S rRNA. Bacterial SSU
Rfam family: Bacterial small subunit ribosomal RNA
Source: RNAcentral
UUACAAUGGAGAGUUUGAUCCUGGCUCAGGAUGAACGCUAGCGGCAGGCUUAAUACAUGCAAGGCGAAGGGGCAGCAAUGUCACUGUCGUACGGGUGCGUAACGCGUAUGCAACCUACCUAUCACUGGGGGAUAGCCCGGGGAAACCCGGAUUAAUACCGCAUAAAACAGGGGCACCGCAUGGUGAUAUUUGUUAAAGA